UCUCCGUAGGUGAACCUGCGGAGGGAUCAUUACCGAGUGAGGGUUCCGGCCCGACCUCCAACCCUUUGUGAAUUCGACCCAGUUGCCUCGGGGGCGACCCGGUAACUGUUCGGAGAAGCUACCCUGUAGCUACCCUGUAACGGCCUACCCUGUAACGUCCUGCCGGUGGACCUUUAAACUCUUGUUAUUUUAUAGUAAUCUGAGCGUCUUAUUUUAAUAAGUCAAAACUUUCAACAACGGAUCUCUUGGUUCUGGCAUCGAUGAAGAACGCAGC
Molecule: unclassified non-coding RNA, 274 nt
Filed under: uncultured fungus
Lineage: Eukaryota; Fungi
Description: sequence contains ITS1, 5.8S rRNA gene
Rfam family: 5.8S ribosomal RNA (bases 226-274)
Source: RNAcentral